RNAcentral lists this ribosomal RNA (342 nucleotides) under uncultured Syntrophaceae bacterium. RNAcentral describes it as "bacterial SSU rRNA". It matches the Rfam family "Bacterial small subunit ribosomal RNA", at positions 1039 to 1382 of the family's 1533-position model. Lineage: Bacteria; Pseudomonadati; Thermodesulfobacteriota; Syntrophia; Syntrophales; Syntrophaceae. The record is from RNAcentral.
UGCUGCAUGGUUGUCGUCAGCUCGUGUCGUGAGAUGUUGGGUUAAGUCCCGCAACGAGCGCAACCCUUGUCUUUAAUUGCCAUCAGUUUAGUUGGGCACGUUUAAAGAGACUGCCGGUGUUAAGCCGGAGAAGUGGGGAUGACGUCAAGUCCUCAUGGCCUUUAUGCCCAGGGCUACACACGUGCUACAAUGGGCGGUACAAAGAGAAGCAACCUCGCGAGGGUGAGCAAAUCUCAAAAAGCCGUUCUCAGUUCGGAUUGAAGUCUGCAACUCGACUUCAUGAAGUCGGGAUCGCUAGUAAUCGCGGAUCAGCAUGCCGCGGUGAAUACGUUCCCGGGCCUU